GGGUAGGAGUGGUGCAGUUGCACCCGCGCCCUUUUGGGGACCCGGGCGGGCCCUCAGGACAACCUGAAUGUUCAAAUAACCUGCCAGUGAACAGCAAUACUAAUACUAAGUCAGUUGAGGGACUAAUUGCGUGCUAUCAUUAAGGUUAUCAUAAUGGUAACAGACAUUUGCACCACCCACGUAGCACACAGAGUUAACUAAAUCAAACGCCCCCUCCCAGCAUUCACUAGUGUAGUAGUUAAACUUCGGGACAACGCUUAGUGCGUUUCAUUCAAAACGAUACAGUCACACAAAGGCAAGAGUAGUGCUAAAAGAAUAAGGAGGAGCAAGACUGGAAUACAACGUUUUAAAAGUGAAGAAACUGGAUUUUCUUUUUUAUUUGUUCUGCUGUUGUCAGCAAAAGUGAGCUAACGUUAGCUAACGGUGGCUAGCAGCGGCUAGCAGCACUGCGCUUCGUCCCUCAGCACCGUGGACCCGCAGCCCGGACUUUUCCAGAUUUGAAAUUUAUAAAACCAAGAACUUUGCUUAGUGCAAGGCCAGCAGAAUGUCGUCCAAAUGGGACACAUUCUGUGAAGACAUUUAUAGCAGUCUGCAUAUGCCUUGGAAUGGGUGAAAAUCUUUUUACACAUUCUACAGAAAUGUUCGAAGAGCUGAUAUGGAUACAGCAAAACAGGAGGCAGGGGAAGCUCUGAGGGGGAUUCAAACUUCAACUAGCUGAGGUCCAUGGGUCACCACAACAUCAUCACUGGGACUACUUCACUGAAAGCUCUCUAAGAAGCGUCUCAUUGGUAUCGACAGGUCUCUGACUGCAGGGUAGUGAGUAGGCAAAUCAAUCACCGUAAAUGAGGGACAGCUGCUACACACAUUAGUUAUUCCACUCACACACCUACUGUUUACCCUUCUGGAGGCAUCAUGAACCAACUUCAACAAGACGGCAGUGAUGGGAAGAUUCCCAGUUGAUAACAGCUUUGUGAUACAGUGCACUCUCAUUUCUUGUUUGACUUUAAAACCCAUUUUAUUUUUCUAUACAGGCACUCGUAUAUAAACAGCAUGAGGGAGGAUUUUUUUCCCCAUCUCUUUCUCUAAAAAAAACAACAACAAAGUGCUAACAACACUCUACAUGUAGCUCAUUACAUUGAUUUCAAACAAGCCCUCAUGAUAGUGUGUAGCCGUUUAGCUUUCACCAGAUUUCCCCAGUGUCACUGGAUGCUGCAUAUUCACUACGACCCCAUGUCUCCUCGUCUCAACAUUCCCAU
Long non-coding RNA from Monopterus albus (swamp eel), 1256 nucleotides. RefSeq lists it as uncharacterized. The record is from RefSeq and is a predicted model, not a curated record. The transcript has 4 exons. Lineage: Eukaryota; Metazoa; Chordata; Actinopteri; Synbranchiformes; Synbranchidae.